CCCUUAGAUGUUCUGGGCCGCACGCGCGCUACACUGACGAAGUCAGCGAGCAUGUCCUACGCCGACAGGUGCGGGGAAUCUUGUCAAACUUCGUCGUGAUGGGGAUUGAUUAUUGAAAUUCUUGAUCAUCAACGAGGAAUUCCUAGUAAGCGCAAGUCAGCAGCUUGCGUUGAUUACGUCCCUGCCCUUUGUACACACCGCCCGUCGCUACUACCGAUUGAGUGGUCCGGUGAGGCUUUGGGAUCUGAGCAAAAAGAGCGUUUCGCUCGUUUGGCUCGGAAAACUCAGUCGAACCUUAUCAUUUAGAGGAAGGAGAAGUCGUAACA
Molecule: ribosomal RNA, 326 nt
Filed under: uncultured eukaryote
Lineage: Eukaryota
Description: partial 18S ribosomal RNA
Rfam family: Eukaryotic small subunit ribosomal RNA
Source: RNAcentral